Molecule: ribosomal RNA, 406 nt
Filed under: uncultured bacterium
Lineage: Bacteria
Description: partial 16S ribosomal RNA
Rfam family: Bacterial small subunit ribosomal RNA
Source: RNAcentral
AUUGAACGCUGGCGGCAGGCCUAACACAUGCAAGUCGAACGAGUGGCGGACGGGUGAGUAAUAGCUGGGAAACUGCCCGAUGGAGGGGGAUAACUAAUGGAAACGGUAACUACUACUGCAUACAAUCGGAUGUGGCCAGAUGGGAUGAGCUUGUAGGUGAGGUAACGGCUCACCAAGGCGACGAUCCCUAGCUGGUCUGAGAGGUUGACCAGGCACAUUGGAACUGAGACACGGUCCAGACUCCUACGGGAGGCAGCAGUGGGGAAUAUUGCACAAUGGGCGAAAGCCUGAUGCAGCCAUGCCGCGUGUGUGAAGAAGGCCUUCGGGUUGUAAAGUACUUUAAGUUGGGAGGCGUUACCCGCAGAAGAAGCACCGGCUAACUCCGUGCCAGCAGCCGCGGUAAUAC